CUCGAGCACUGGCACUUCCCAGGGGGACAUCACCACCUGAGGUGGCUCAGGCAAGAAACCCACCCAGCUACUCCUAAGAGGUGACGAUCCCACUAAACAACAAGAAAGUCUCCCCAGGCCAAGGGAAGAAUCAGGAAAGAAAAAGAUGCCACGUCAUCCCCAAGGCUCACUGCAAGAACAACAGACAGGCAGCCGUGGAUUGCAAGGAUAUAAAUUCAUCCAAGGGCUGCAGUGGCCAGAGCUGAUACAAUAACUUUUGCAGCCCUGCAGUUGAAGUCAUCUGAAACCACAAGAUUGGAGUUUGAACGGCACUUGAUAUUAUCAGUGAGCUGAGCCACUGCUCUGCACCUCAGCCACCAUUUUCCCCUUCCAUCCUUCACUGAGAUGUAUGUGCAAAUCCAAAGGAACCAGUCAGUCAAAUGUGGUGAAGCUAUCAAACACACUGCUUCUCUUCCCCAGCAGAAGAAGCCUCACUAAAGCCAAGGGAAUAUCUGAGAAACUGCAGCCAGUAGAGGGAUUUAGGCCUUCCACAAUGUGUGACAAAGCUGCCAUUAAAGCAAUGGAGCAGUCCUGGGAUCUUGAAAAAUGCAAAGAUAAUAGUGUAAACAAUGAGGAAGACUUGUGUGAGGAUAAAAAAUUCCCAGCACACCACAGUAUGCUCUUGAGCCUCCUGAAUUCACUGUCGUCUGCAAUGCUCCUAUCCCCUUGGAGGAAUUGCUGCACUAUCCAAAACUCAGUCAGACAAACUUAUUCUGAGUCCCUUAUGAUGUUUGGGUUAUAAGGCUCAUGCUGUAUAUUGAUUUGUCUUCUCCUCCUCCCUGCCCACCUCAGGGCCUCAUUUCCCAUUUCAUCUACAUCGGUUUCCUGGAUUGCAGAGGGAAUUGUCUCAAGGUCAUACCAAGAUGCUUCAGAAGGGCUCAGCGAUGAAAAAUGUAUGCAGCCCAAAAUAUUGUCUAAAAGCAAUAGACUGAAUAUAUAAAGCCUGUGCCCCAAAAGAGUUCUGUUGUAUUUAAGACACAGGGAUUUAGAUGCACACUUUUAAAAACUGCCCGUACUUCACCAGUUAAAACGAUGAGAACAAAUGAGGCUGUGAUCUGUCAAGUGAUCCUUCAUCACUCCCAGCACAGGCCCAUAAUCCUUCAGUUGUGAUUAUGCAAAGGAAUAUUACAUUGAUCCUGUAAAAUAUCUCUGAUUGGAUCAAUGUUAUUUUCUCUCGCAUUGACAAGGUCUUACCAGAGAAUGACUAUAAUUCCACUGCUAACACUGUCUUAGUGAAAUCCCCCAAUAAAUCCUCCAAGCAGCACUGUUAGUAAUACCUUUAUUAGACUAACUAAACAAGAUAUUUAUAUGUAGGGCUUUCCAAAGGACUCUGGGUCCUGCUUCAUUUUCUGGGAAUUUUUUAUCCUCAGACAAGUCUUCCUCAUUGUUUACACUAUCAUUGUUUACACUGUUGAUCAACAGUGUUCUCCUGGAAGACUUGCCCCCAAGGAGGUUCUGCAAGGAUGUAAGUGGCAGAUGAAAUUACCCUUUCAAGAUUCAAAAGGUUGGUCACAGAUAUACCCUUGUCCUGCCCCUACUGCAGCAAGGACCCAAAUGCAUCUUUGACAGAAAAAUCUCACAGCGAAUCUGGUUCACAGACAAGACUGGAGUUCAGAGUCUCUCCAUACAUUUCACAAACAGGCUGUCAGUGAACAGUUUGCUAACAGCCAAAGGGAAAACAUGGUCUUUAUGUACCUUCUGUCAUUUCAAUAUUUGUUCAAGGCCUGGCCUUCCUACUCAACAAGACCUGAUCCCCUUCUAGCCACUGCUGUUUCUCCUUACUCGUGCUUCCAUUCUCUUCCUCUCUUGCCCUUCUCUCUUUGUGUAAAUUCCUCUACUUUUGCCGCCAUUUUCUUUUCUCCACAGCUCCAGGCUUUCGGUCCCAGUGGUUUCAACCCCACACUGACCUCCCCUUCAUCACUGAAGCUGAAUUGUCACCUCCUGGUUUGAAAUGUGAUGCUCCAGUGAAAUGAAUGGUGGAUGCCAGUGAUCACCUUGUCAAGUCAUUUUUUCAGGCUGCCUGGGUGCUCAGGCACCCACUGCAUCUCUGCUUU
This is a long non-coding RNA of Manacus vitellinus (golden-collared manakin), 2093 nucleotides long. RefSeq lists it as uncharacterized. The transcript is spliced from 3 exons. The record is from RefSeq and is a predicted model, not a curated record. NCBI's taxonomy places the organism in Eukaryota, Metazoa, Chordata, Aves, Passeriformes, Pipridae.